GCCAAAUCCAAAGAUAUUCAUAGCAGCCAAUGACAACCAAAAGCUACAAUGUAAACAUGUAGGUGAAUUGAAUGUUUAAAACAUGUAAUUGGACAAAAACAGUUUGAACAUUGAAAAGGAUGUCCAUGUAAAGGGAAAAAACAAGAUAACCAAGUUAAGGCUCAAAGAAAAAGUUAUAUGUGGUAUCAUAGUAAAUCAUGUCUGAUUGACCACAAACCUCUCGAACAAGUAGGGAUAGCAAAUUAGAUGAGCAAGUGGCUAGGCACUUGAUGAGUGUGAUUUAAUCAUGAGUUUAUGUUAUUUUUAACUUGAUUGUAAGCUAGAUUUUACGAGUAUUGAACCUUUUUAAUGUGUUUAUUAGUGUUGUUUUAUAGGUUUGUUGAGAUGGUGAAAGAAAUGGAAAAAUUCAUCAAAUAAAGUUAUUGGCAUGGAUCGAAAAUAAAUUUUGGAUAAAAGGGCAAAGCACAAUAUAGAUUGGACAAGUGAUGCUUCGACACUGAAAUAGUGGCGGCAAGGCGCCACGGGGAAAAAAAAAGCUAGAGACAGGUUUGGCACCACGAGCUGUGACGCCAUGCUCUGGGCGCUGCAGCGCCAAGAGAAACAGAGUGGGGGUACCGCAGUGCCGCUUCCCACAAAAAAUAGCAUGAUGCUACGGCGCCGCACAUUGGGCACCGCUGCGGAGUAACUAGGACAUAAAUUUUGGCCCAUUUUGAAAUCCAUAAAAACCCUACUUUUUACACACGAGAGAACUAUAAAUACAAAAUUUUCAUGCUUUCAAGGGGAUUUGGCACACAAUGGGGGGCAAGGAACACACUUUGAGAUUCAAAGAAGCAAUUCCAAGGGAUGAAAACAACAAGCAAUGCAUCGUUUGAAGCAUUGAUUGGAAGAGGAAGAGGAUUUUGGUGCAAGAUUGAAUUUUUCUUCUACAUAUAUACUAAAAAUUUGGUGAUGUAUUCUAUGAUGAUUUAUUGUAUUUUCUCUUUCAUUAUGAGUAGCUAAAAUUUUUGUUAGGGCGAAUAAUGUAACCGUCUAGGGGUCCUUUAUGUUUUUUAAUUAAGAUUUGUAUUCCUUAUUUUUUUCAUGUGUUGAUUUCACUAUAAGUUCAAUGCAUUAAAUUACUUGGUCACUAAUUUGAUGAUUUUGUAAAUCUUUUACAAAUCGAAAGGUGGGUUUAGGAUUUAGA
This 1183-nucleotide long non-coding RNA is filed under the name Olea europaea subsp. europaea. Lineage: Eukaryota; Viridiplantae; Streptophyta; Magnoliopsida; Lamiales; Oleaceae. The record is from RNAcentral.